Molecule: long non-coding RNA, 1370 nt
Organism: Megachile rotundata (alfalfa leafcutting bee)
Lineage: Eukaryota; Metazoa; Arthropoda; Insecta; Hymenoptera; Megachilidae
Source: RefSeq, a predicted model, not a curated record
UUAUAAAAAUGUAUAAUUAAAGUAGCUGCAACGAUUAGUAAAAAAACAGCGUAGUUAACAAUUCAAAUUUCGCGGGAAGGAUUUAGCCGAAAAAUGGCGGCACCAAUCAAAAUCGAUACCGUAAUGUCGUGGCCGUGAUUGGAGGAUCUCUAGCGCGAUGGAGUCCGACGAAUUUCGAAUGCGGUAUGUAAUGGACGAAAAUGGGUUUGACGGAAAGUAGCGAGGAACGUUGGACGGUUUCCGUAAACAAAGCAUAUUACUUAGCGGAUCGGAAUGUCGGUCGGUUUUUCUUACGACCGUUUGUAUUUCUAGUCUCGGGGUUUAGAGUAAGCGCAGAAAUAAGUUUCAGGCAUUAACUCGGACUCUGUUCUUCCGGCCACGGGGACGUGAGUUGCCUGGCGAGCAUGGAAUAAUUUUCUCGGUCACAUUCUCCCAUAACACACUAUUCAUCGUGCACCGAUUAAGUUCUUAACCUUCGACGGACCGGUAUUACCAUAAGAGUAUCACACCAGGAUAUUCCACGCAUUCUGUAAGUUCGAAAUCAAGCCAAAUUUGUGAUCUUCCGUGUGUUUAAGGUUAUGGGAUUCCUUUGGAAAGUGGCCAUAUAGCGAGAGAGAGAGAGGAACACGGAAACAGACGAACAAGGAAACUUUUCGAAUUUGGAAAUAUUACCAAGUUUUCAAAUCUGGUGAUUUCAACUAGGAACAGAUUGGAAAUUCUGAAACUUUAAUUACUUCAAAUAAUUACACGAUUCACAUACAAAAAAAUUGCAAUAUAAAAAGUGCAAAGAGAGAGCUGAUCUACGAUGUUAAUAAUGAGGGAUAGUAAAUCUGUCGUCGAUAAAUGUCCAACUACUUUAGGUCAUUAUCUCGCGGAAACGUGUAGUUGGAUAAAGCCAUGUUUACUCGGACCAAACGAGAAGAGCUAUCGCGUGUGUAUACAAGUACGACAAACGAAAUGAUGCGUCAAAGUUCAGCGGGAAGAAGAAACAAGUAAGACGAGGAAGAAAAGCGGGGUUAAAGAGCUGGCAAACUCGAAAACUGCUUCGAGCACGUUUAGCUCGGGUUUCGUAUCGCCGGAAUGGCUAGGUGAACAUGUAUUUUGCGUGAAUCACAAAGCCGUGAAAGUCUUGUGGAAACAAUGCGCAUAACAAGCCAGCGAAAAAAAAGUGUCACGACAAAGGGAUCUGAAACACGACCAUGGUUCGCGUUACCGAUUCUGUUACACAUUAGGGUACAUGUACCAUUUGUGGCCACUUUAACGAUUUCCGUACCAUUUACCGAUAUAUGACCGAAAGAGAAUCACGUUGUAAGUCAUUUGAAAGCAUUUUUAGACAAUGUACCUAACAAUAAAAUUUAACAUGACAUGCA